AAGCUGUCUGUCAUUCCCUGGGUAACUCUUUGUCCCCUCCUGUCCCCCUUCCAGGUUCCUGGUUGCCUAGUUCUCUCUGACCCCCCGAUCACCUCUCCCUGGGAUCUGGCCGUUCCGAGGAGUGGUGAGUGUUCAGAGCGAAACCUCCUGCAGGAUGCACCAGCUAGCACAGCCAGAGAGGGUGUCAGCUCCUCCAGCUACUGCAUCCCUCGGGUACCAAGCUGAAGCUCUGGAGCAUCAAGUCCAACUCCAGCUGCUGCUUUCCAAAGCUGCAAGCCCCCUCCCGUAUGAGCCAGAACAAAAUGCUCUGGAGUGGGUUGCUGGUGCCAGUAAGAACUCUGCACCGAAGGGCCAGUUUCCUUUGUUACUGAUACACUUCAUCUCGGCUCAUGUCCCCGUGGUCAGCAAGUUAUUCACAGGUACUCUGAACUUCUCAGAUUUAUUAAACACCUUUCGCAACUGAUCCCACCCUCACUGCCA
Molecule: long non-coding RNA, 480 nt
Organism: Falco peregrinus (peregrine falcon)
Lineage: Eukaryota; Metazoa; Chordata; Aves; Falconiformes; Falconidae
Exons: 3
Source: RefSeq, a predicted model, not a curated record